RNAcentral lists this unclassified non-coding RNA (262 nucleotides) under plant metagenome. RNAcentral describes it as "partial contains small subunit ribosomal RNA, internal transcribed spacer 1, and 5.8S ribosomal RNA". The record is from RNAcentral.
GCUCCGUUGGCGAACCAGCGGAGGGAUCAUUACCGAGUUUACAACUCCCAAACCCCUAUGUGAACGUUACCAAACUGUUGCCUCGGCGGGAAAUUCAUGCCCCGGGCGCGUCGCAGCCCCGGACCAAGGCGCCCGCCGGAGGACCAACCAAAACUCUUUUGUAUGUCCCUCGCGGACUUUUAUAAUUCUGAACCAUCUCGGCGCCCCUAGCGGGCGUUUCGAAAAUGAAUCAAAACUUUCAACAGCGGAUCUCUUGGUUCUG